UAAUAUGUUCUACAUCAAUAUCCUAAUUUUGUCUGAUUCAACAAAACACUCAAUAUUCCUGAUUCUAAACUUACUGUUUUUAGUCUCAUCCAUCAAAAAUCCUAAAAUGGUCUUAAUCCAAACAUUUCAUGCUCUGCAUCAACUCUUCCCAUAAGGAUUGGAACAGACUCUGCAUUCGUGUCUCCUACUAUUUCAUUCAAUUAAAGCUUGGCUCUCAAUUUUCAUGCCACAGAGCCAUGUAGACAUUAAUGACCAUUGUUUAAUCAACAGCUGAGGGAACUCCAAUAUGGAAGUGCUGAUGUAAUUGAUUCUCAAUUCUGAAUCUCAAUCAUCUACAUACAUUCACUUCCUGAUAAUGCUGAGUACACAACUCAACUACGUUUUCCACCCAUUUUCUCUUUGUCUCCUUUCUGAAGAUUCUGUGGGAUACUAGUAUGCGGUUCAGCAAGUGCCAACCAUCCCUGGGUACUAAGGUUCAAUGGUGCUACCUGAUUGUGAGUGUCAGUGAGUUAUUAUAUUAUCACUGGGCUCCAACCUGUUCUCACAGGACAUUCAGUCAUACCACUGCUGUCCACCAACCACAGACUGUUCGCCCUCUCCGUGUAACCUUCCUACCAGACCAGAAAAUAUUAAGACCAAUUGUGACACAUCUCCUUCCUCCUCAACUGAGAUCAAUUAACUCCACACAGACCAGGGCCCAAACCGAGAAGCAAAAUGAUGUUCAGGUGGCGACAUUCAAUGCUGAUGGUGGAUCUUGCAAAUGUAUUGUCAGGAGAGUUGAACUUGGACAUCUUGCAAGACUAUGGGAGGAGAGUGCUGAUUGACAAGCAAGUGGACUCUGACUGGGCAUGGGCAUCACUGGCUUGGACAGGACAUUCUCCACCUAUCACCGGCCCGGAGAAGGUGACGUGAGCCACCUGCUUGAACAGAUGCGUAAUUCAUAAAAUCACAGAAUAACAAAAGUGUUUUGCUGCAGAAAAAGGCCAUUGCAUCUGCUUCGGCUCUUGACCUCCUCUUGUACUUAAGUAUCUGUACCCAGGUACCAUGGUACCCAAGAUGGCGCCAUAGGUGGUGACUUGUAAACUUUCAAUGUAAUCAUGUGGGCACAUGUGACA
Molecule: non-coding RNA, 1115 nt
Organism: Chiloscyllium plagiosum (whitespotted bambooshark)
Lineage: Eukaryota; Metazoa; Chordata; Chondrichthyes; Orectolobiformes; Hemiscylliidae
Source: RefSeq, a predicted model, not a curated record